Molecule: non-coding RNA, 54 nt
Organism: Salmo salar (Atlantic salmon)
Lineage: Eukaryota; Metazoa; Chordata; Actinopteri; Salmoniformes; Salmonidae
Source: Rfam
UGCAUGCAUGACUGUAAGUUACUUUGAAGAAAAGUGUCUGCUAAAUGGCAUAUA